UGACAGUUUUAUAUUUUAUCUCUAGUCUACAUAAGGGAAAUUGACUUGGAGAGCUGGGAGAUUUGCCCAAGUACAUUAGGCUUCCAUUAAUAGGGGUAGUGGGCAGGGACCUAGGGCUCUGCUAGCUAUCUGUUGGGGCUAGGAUGGGGGUGAGGGUAGAGAGAACAAGGCAAAAGAGUUCAUCUAAAUUGCCUGCCUCCUGACACGGAUCCUUCCUGUCUGUCUCUCUCCAUCCCUUUGGACUUCUCAGUUCCAAGCUGGACAGACAGAACAGUAAGUAAUUUGCUCCAAAUAGGCCAGGUCGGCAGAAAACAAGGGGCUGGUGUUGCUUUAGGGAAUGCCUUCAGAUCCAGAGCUUGUCCAUCUCUGCAGGCAGAGUUCCCCGAAGCUUGCUCUCCUCCUCUGAGACAGACUUCCAAACAUGAAAUCACAACAGAAAGAAAAUCCAGAUAUUAGUCAGUGGCCUUUAAAUGUAAAAGCCCC
Molecule: long non-coding RNA, 483 nt
Filed under: Bos taurus (domestic cattle)
Lineage: Eukaryota; Metazoa; Chordata; Mammalia; Artiodactyla; Bovidae
Description: long non-coding RNA NONBTAT016306
Source: RNAcentral